RNAcentral lists this ribosomal RNA (460 nucleotides) under uncultured bacterium. Its description in RNAcentral is "partial 16S ribosomal RNA". It matches the Rfam family "Bacterial small subunit ribosomal RNA", at positions 338 to 795 of the family's 1533-position model. The record is from RNAcentral.
CCUACGGGCGGCAGCAGUGAGGAAUAUUGGUCAAUGGCCGUAAGGCUGAACCAGCCAAGUCGCGUGAAGGAAGAAGGAUCUAUGGUUUGUAAACUUCUUUUAUAGGGGAAUAAAGGUAUCCACGUGUGGAUAUUUGCAUGUACCCUAUGAAUAAGCAUCGGCUAAUUCCGUGCCAGCAGCCGCGGUAAUACGGAGGAUCCGAGCGUUAUCCGGAUUUAUUGGGUUUAAAGGGUGCGUAGGUUGGUUUUUAAGUCAGGGGUGAAAGUUUGUGGCUCAACCAUAGAAUUGCGGUUGAAACUGGAAGGCGUGAGUGUGUUAGAGGUAGGCGGAAUGCGUGGUGUAGCGGUGAAAUGCAUAGAUAUCACGAAGAACUCCGAUUGCGAAGGCAGCUUACUGAGCCAUAACUGACGCUGAGGCACGAAAGCGUGGGGAUCAAACAGGAUUAGAUACCCGGGUAGUC